CCUACGGGUGGCUGCAGUGGGGAAUAUUGGACAAUGGGCGAAAGCCUGAUCCAGCCAUGCCGCGUGAGUGAUGAAGGCCUUAGGGUUGUAAAGCUCUUUUACUGGGGAAGAUAAUGACGGUACCCACAGAAAAAGCCCCGGCUAACUUCGUGCCAGCAGCCGCGGUAAUACGAAGGGGGCUAGCGUUGUUCGGAUUUACUGGGCGUAAAGCGCACGUAGGCGGAUCGUUAAGUCGGGGGUGAAAUCCUGGAGCUCAACUCCAGAACUGCCUUCGAUACUGGCGAUCUAGAGUCCGGAAGAGGUGAGUGGAACUCCUAGUGUAGAGGUGAAAUUCGUAGAUAUUAGGAAGAACACCAGUGGCGAAGGCGGCUCACUGGUCCGGUACUGACGCUGAGGUGCGAAAGCGUGGGGAGCAAACAGGCUUAGAUACCCGAGUAGUC
This 440-nucleotide ribosomal RNA is filed under the name uncultured Devosia sp. RNAcentral describes it as "bacterial SSU rRNA". It matches the Rfam family "Bacterial small subunit ribosomal RNA", at positions 338 to 795 of the family's 1533-position model. The record is from RNAcentral. Lineage: Bacteria; Pseudomonadati; Pseudomonadota; Alphaproteobacteria; Hyphomicrobiales; Devosiaceae.